GAUGAAGAACGUAGCGAAAUGCGAUAAGUAAUGCGAAUUGCAGAAUUUCCGUGAGUCAUCGAAUCUUUGAACGCACAUUGCGCCCACUGGUAUUCUGGCGGGCAUGCCUGUUCGAGCGUCAUUACAACCCUCAGGCCCCCGGGCCUGGCGUUGGGGAUCGGCGGAGCCCCCCGUGGGCACACGCCGUCCCCCAAAUGCAGUGGCGGUCCCGCCGCAGCUUCCAUCGCGUAGUAGCUAACACCUCGCGACUGGAGAGCGGCGCGGCCACGCCGUAAAACACCCAACUCUUCUGAAGUUGACCUCGAAUCAGGUAGGAAUACCCGCUGAACUUAAGCAUAUCAAUAAGCGGAGGA
RNAcentral lists this unclassified non-coding RNA (353 nucleotides) under soil metagenome. Its description in RNAcentral is "partial contains 5.8S ribosomal RNA, internal transcribed spacer 2, and large subunit ribosomal RNA". The stretch from base 1 to 121 matches the Rfam family "5.8S ribosomal RNA", at positions 35 to 154 of the family's 154-position model. The record is from RNAcentral.